GAACCAACAGUUGUGACCACUGAGGUGUACCAGCCUUGUACUCACUACUCACCCAGGGCAUGCAAACAUCAGGUCGGCUUAAAUCUCUUCACUGCCCUGAUUCUCCUGGAAGGGCUCACUGAGUGCUUCUUCAAAUAAUUGAUACAAACUGCUGGAGAAGCACAGGCUGUUGAACCACUGAACCUCACUGUCUUUGCACCAGGGCUGUGAUGACAAAUAACGUUGCUCCAAAUGGAAUACUCAGAACCACACAUAAAAAUCACACCUUCAGCAGGUCGAAGAAUUCAGGAAUAUCCGCACUGCAGUCUGAAGAAAUUAAUUGACAUGUUUAUCUGUAAUGAGUAGCUGAAUUAGUCUUCCUUCCAAUAACUGUCUUCCGUGAUUCUCUUCAAGUCAUGAACCUGUGCUGCACAAAGGAAAUUAAUCUUUCAAGCAUUUUCCUCAAUAGUUUAGAGUUCUCAUAAAUUGUUUCAUAUA
Molecule: long non-coding RNA, 477 nt
Organism: Numida meleagris (helmeted guineafowl)
Lineage: Eukaryota; Metazoa; Chordata; Aves; Galliformes; Numididae
Exons: 2
Source: RefSeq, a predicted model, not a curated record